Molecule: long non-coding RNA, 1651 nt
Organism: Herpailurus yagouaroundi (jaguarundi)
Lineage: Eukaryota; Metazoa; Chordata; Mammalia; Carnivora; Felidae
Exons: 2
Source: RefSeq, a predicted model, not a curated record
CCGACCGAGCCACCCAGGCGCCCCAAAACUUUACAUGUUUUAAAGAUUUGUUUUGUCCCCUCCGUGGAUUUACCACUGAGUGAAAUCAUGUGCUGUGUCCCUGAGAGCUUGCCUGGUGGCCCGUGGAUGAUGGAUCGGUGACUGCUGCUCUUCAGGAGGGGGGAGGGGAGCAGGGGAAGCCUGUUCUUAGAGCAUCAAGUCACGACUUUGACUACUAGAGACUUGCUGUUUCCCUAGGGCAGCUGUCCCCGAUGUAGAGGCAAGACAGAUUCCAUCUCACGACAACGAAGUUCUUUCUAAAGACAACAGGAAGCCCCGUUUCUCAGUUCUCUUCCAAAGUGACUCCAAUACACCUGCUGACCUCUUUUCUAAAAUUAGUUUCACGGAAGGCGUGAUUGAUUUCAAGCACUUUAUAGAUUUAAUUUAACGUUCAUUCCCUCUUGUCUUAUUGCCCAGCUUGAGUAGAGAUGAUCAUCCGGAUGAUUAGAGAAAGAAAGCAAGGCCCUGACGGCUACUUUGGGGGCCGAAUGCAGAACUCUCUUCUCCCUGAGUUGGAAGCUGGGCCCCACAGAGACGUGCCAUUCUUGAACGAAACGUUUAUUUGAUUCAACCCGAAGUCAAUAACAUCAGUGAAGCAUAAUUUCAGGACUGUGGGUCUUUUCUCUGAUUUGUACUUGAGAAAGUUGCACUGCCCAGGGGGUAGUUCUGUUCCUACGAUCCGUAUCCUGGUGAAUCGGUAAAAUAAAGGCCUGCUACCUCCCACCAGGGGGAAUCCAAACCCUCCUGAGGUGGUAGGUGUGCCGCAAACUCUAACUCAAGCCUGUAACCUUCUGAAAUUCCUUUCCGUUCUUAGAGAUGGCACUUAAUCAUUUUCUCUAAUUUUUCGUUCUCACUUGUCCACACCAGGGCAGGCCACACUGAUAUGGCUCAUACCACUUAUUUGGUGUGCACUGAGCAUCUAACGAUACCACAGGCCCGUUCUGGGAGGGGUGCGUAAUGAGAUUUCAUCUACUGUUUCUUUCCUUUGAGACUGGCUGGUCUGGCUAUUGACAUACUGUGGUAACUAGUCACUAAAACACUUCCUGUAUCCCGUUAUACUCGUAAGUUAAAGAAAACUGAAUGGUAGACAGAUCUCAGCCUUUAAGGCCAAAGAAAUGAAUGGAAAUAAUUCUCUUUGUUGUCUGUCAUCUAAGAAGAAGCAGGUUUACUUCGCGUGAACUCACUGAGAAAGACUCAUACUGUUGUUAUUGUAGGUCUUGGUCUGUGCUUCCUCUUAUUCACCGUGCAGUUCAGGAACAAAAACUUGGAUACAUGAUGCGAUGAUUAAAUAACACUGAGGAUGACGGUUUGGUUACUUUUAUAAAACAAUCUGGCAAAGACGAUGAAUGAGGGUUCGCACUUGAGGCCUCUUUUCACAGUGGACACCAGGGGGCGACACUUACGCAGGCAUAUCUCAGAGAUCAUGUGGGUUUGGUUCCAGACCCCUGCAGUAAAGUGAAUAGGGCAGUAAAGCAAGUCGAAUGAAUAUUUUGGUCUCCAGUGCAUGUAAAAGUUAUGCUUACACUAAACUGUAGUCUAUUAAGAACACAAUAGCAUUGUGUAUUUAAAAAAAAAAAAACAAAAUGUAUAUACCUUAUGUAAAAAAAAAAAA